UAUCUCUGGAACAGUCCCCAAACGUCUUGCCAAGGGCACAGGUUUUCAGCUUUAAAGGCCAUUUCAAUUUAAGAAAACAAAAGAUGAUCCUGUGAACACUGUAUCAGGCAUCAUUACUGGACUGAAAAAAGGAUCACUUGAUGGACGUGCCUGGCAUUUUCUUUAGAAGUAUUUCUUCUCUGGCCUUAGAAGAUUCGUUUUCAAAGCGAUGGUAAAAUCAUUGAUGUACGUCUUUUCAAGAAAAAGGAAAAAAAAAAGACUCCUAAAUGCCAAACAUUUGCUCUUUGGAGCAUAGCAAGAAGAAAGGGAGAGGACCAGACGGCCACAUCCUAAGAACAGAGUAUUGUCCAGGUAGCUGUCACCCCAAAUGGGAUCUCUUUCCAGGUCUUUUUGUUAAAGUUUUUCUUUCCUAAAUAAAACUUAAUUUUCUCUCGCUAA
RNAcentral lists this long non-coding RNA (438 nucleotides) under Pan troglodytes (chimpanzee). RNAcentral describes it as "lincRNA". Lineage: Eukaryota; Metazoa; Chordata; Mammalia; Primates; Hominidae. The record is from RNAcentral.